RNAcentral lists this ribosomal RNA (253 nucleotides) under uncultured bacterium. Its description in RNAcentral is "partial 16S ribosomal RNA". It matches the Rfam family "Bacterial small subunit ribosomal RNA", at positions 524 to 776 of the family's 1533-position model. The record is from RNAcentral.
UACGUAGGGGGCAAGCGUUGUCCGGAUUUCUUGGGCGUAAAGCGCGUGUAGGCGGCCCGGUAAGUCCGUUGUGAAAGUCCAGGGCUCAACCCUGGAAUGCCGAUGGAUACUGCCGGGCUAGAGUUCGGAAGAGGCGAGUGGAAUUCCUGGUGUAGCGGUGGAAUGCGCAGAUAUCAGGAGGAACACCUAUAGCGAAGGCAGCUCGCUGGGACGACACUGACGCUGAGACGCGAAAGCGUGGGGAGCGAACAGG